This 274-nucleotide ribosomal RNA is filed under the name uncultured bacterium. RNAcentral's name for it is "partial 16S ribosomal RNA". It matches the Rfam family "Bacterial small subunit ribosomal RNA", at positions 523 to 796 of the family's 1533-position model. The record is from RNAcentral.
AUACGAAGGUCCCGAGCGUUAUUCGGAAUCACUGGGCGUAAAGGGAGCGUAGGCUGUAGGGUAAGUCAGAUGUGAAAUCUCAGAGCUCAACUCUGAAACUGCAUCCGAUACUGCCGUACUAGAGUAAUGGAGGGGUAACUGGAAUUCUCGGUGUAGCAGUGAAAUGCGUAGAUAUCGAGAGGAAGACCAACGGCGAAGGCAGGUUACUGGACAUUUACUGACGCUGAGGCUCGAAGGCUAGGGUAGCGAAAGGGAUUAGAUACCCCAGUAGUCC